UUCCAAAUUCAAAGGGAGAACACGUAACAUGGCUUCGGGACCAAUUGCACGAACAAAGGAGCCAAUGGCUUCAUCAACCAGUGCCUUUCCAUCAAACCCUUCCGAUCCCCUAAGGUAAUCAAUGACCUCCAAGGCUGGAAUUAAAUAGGGAUCUGAAUGAGGACCUAAUUUGUCACACAAAGAAGAGAUAAUCUGAAAGCAUUCUGGGUAAGCAAGACGAAAACGAAUAUCCCUUAAUGCAUCACAAAUAAAGGAACAGAUUUCUUCGACAACGGCAAAUGAAUUUGGAGUAGUGUCCAAAC
This is a non-coding RNA of Schizosaccharomyces pombe (fission yeast), 302 nucleotides long. The record is from the annotation of a GenBank genome assembly. Lineage: Eukaryota; Fungi; Ascomycota; Schizosaccharomycetes; Schizosaccharomycetales; Schizosaccharomycetaceae.